CCGGGCCAGCCUGGCGUGCCGCGGGAAGAAGCUGCGUCCCUUGCCCCGUCGCCGCGUGGCGCAAGAAGAGGCCGAGACAAUGAUUCAGGCUGACAACAGGUUGUCUGGAGAGUUGGCUGGUGGACAAACUGAGCCUCAGGAAACAGCUUCAAGGUCUCAUACCUUCAAAAACAAGUCUUUUAAAAAAUCUAGAAUCUGUGGAAUCUGCAAACAAGUAAUUGACAGCCAAGGAAUUUCUUGCAGAGUUUGCAAAUAUGCCUGCCACAGGAAAUGUGAAGAAAAG
Molecule: long non-coding RNA, 283 nt
Filed under: Lepidothrix coronata (blue-crowned manakin)
Lineage: Eukaryota; Metazoa; Chordata; Aves; Passeriformes; Pipridae
Description: lncRNA (ENSLCOG00000011595.1)
Source: RNAcentral